Molecule: ribosomal RNA, 512 nt
Filed under: uncultured bacterium
Lineage: Bacteria
Description: partial 16S ribosomal RNA
Rfam family: Bacterial small subunit ribosomal RNA
Source: RNAcentral
UACGAACGCUGGCGGCAUGCCUAAUACAUGCAAGUCGAGCGAACAGAUGAAGUGCUUGCACUUCUAACGUUAGCGGCGAACGGGUGAGUAACACGUAAGGAAUCUACCUAUAAGCGGGGGAUAACACUCGGAAACGGGUGCUAAUACCGCAUAAUAUCUUCUUCCGCAUGGAGGGAGAUUGAAAGACGGCUCUGCGGUCACUUAUAGAUGACCUUGCGGUGCAGUAGUUAGUUGGUGGGGUAACGGCCUACCAAGACGAUGAUGCAUAGCCGACCUGAGAGGGUGAUCGGCCACAUUGGGACUGAGACACGGCCCAAACUCCUACGGGAGGCAGCAGUAGGGAAUCUUCCGCAAUGGGCGAAAGCCUGACGGAGCAAUGCCGCGUGAGUGAAGAAGGCCUUCGGGUCGUAAAACUCUGUUAUAAGAGAAGAACAAAUUGUAGAGUAACUGCUACAGUCUUGACGGUAUCUUAUCAGAAAGCCACGGCUAACUACGUGCCAGCCGCCGCGGUA